RNAcentral lists this unclassified non-coding RNA (714 nucleotides) under Leishmania donovani. RNAcentral describes it as "gene:unknown". Lineage: Eukaryota; Euglenozoa; Kinetoplastea; Trypanosomatida; Trypanosomatidae. The record is from RNAcentral.
CCCAUCAACGCCACCACCAUCAUUGUCGUCCUCUUCUCAGGUGUAUCAGCCAACAUGGAAACCAACAAAAAGAAAACAGAGAUCGGACACGCAUGCGUGUGACGGCAAGUAUAUGGGCAGCUGUCGCUGGCGUUGCGCGGUGCAUCCAGUCAGUCGGUGGGCCGGUGUAUUGCUGUGCGCAUGUGCGUGUGCGUGAUAGGCACGCCUCUCUUCUUUUCCUAUCCUUUCUUACUGUUCUUGCCGCCACGAAGUACACAGUCACCCACACAUACAUACAUACGCAUGCAUAUGUAUGUAUACAUAUAUAUGUGGGAGAGGGGUAUGCGCUUCUCUCUUUUACAUCUCUCCCACUCUGUCUUCGGGGUACGAGGGGAAGGGGGGGGGCUGUGCGCGCGUCAGAUGUGAUAAAGGAGAAUAAGGCAUGCUUGCUUCUGAGAGAGAGACGUGUGCCGGUCGCAGCUGUUGCGAUAUGCAUGUGUAGCUAAGCCUGUCUCAAGCUUGUCUGUGUGUAAGUGCAUCUGUGUAAGUGUAUGUGUGGCGGUGUAGUUGCUCUCGUGUUCCCACACACCCACCCACCCUCUUCCUCUCCUCCUCUAUAACCGCCACUGUUUAACGUGUGAUGCACCCCCGUCUGUUUUCCGUUUGUGUUGUGUGGUAAUUCCUCUUCACCCGCCGCCGCCGCCCUCCUACCUCCCCCUCAUCUACAUCGCUCAG